This 1198-nucleotide long non-coding RNA is filed under the name Equus caballus (horse). RNAcentral's name for it is "lncRNA (ENSECAG00000052330.1)". The record is from RNAcentral. Lineage: Eukaryota; Metazoa; Chordata; Mammalia; Perissodactyla; Equidae.
GUCUUCCUGCCUGCCCUGUGCUGGAAGACGGGGGUGCCCCGCUGCGUUAUCAAGGGGAAGGCCGGGCCGAGGAGUCUGGCCCACAGAAAGAUCUGCACCACUGUCACCUUCACACAACUUAACUCAGAAGGUGAUGGAGCUCUGGCUAAGCUGGUGGAAGCCAUCAAGACCAAUUACAGGGACAGUGAUCUAAUUGCCAGGAUCUGUUCCGGGUAACCUGGUAUUUAAUCAAAAGUCACUGGCCUGUUUCAAAACUUCUCUGAGCCUUGGUUCUAAAAUCUUUAAAGAAGGGUAUGCUGAUGUCUUCCAUGAUCAUAAGGUAGAUGGGAGAACUGAAUGGGAUAAUGUGUGCCACACACUUAAUACAAUGCCAGGAGAAAGUUUGCGCAGGGCUUGACAAGCAGUGCCAUGUCCGCACCCGGGAUCCAAACUGAUGAACCACAGGCCACUGAAGCAGAAUGUGCGAACUCUCCUAUCAACAAAAGAGCAAAUCAUCCUCAGCCAAAAAAACAAAAGAAGAGGGCAAAAGAUCUGAGCAGAUAUUUUUCCAAAGAAGACAUACAGAUGGCCAACAAGCACAUGAGAAGAUGUUCAACGUCAUUAAUUAUUAGAAAAAUGUGAAUCAAAACUACAAUGAGAUAUCACUUCAUGCCCCUCAUAACGGCUAUAAUUACCAAUAUAGAAAUAACAAAUGUUGGAGAGUAUAUAGAGAAAAGGGAACUCUCAAACACUCAUACACUGCUGGUGGGAAUAUAAACUGGUGCAGCCACUGUGGAAAACAGCAUGGAGAUUCUUCCAGAAAUUAAUGACAGAACUACCAUAUGAUCUGGUUAUUCCACUGCUGGGUACUUAUCCAAAGAACAUGAGAAUAUGAAAGUGUAAAGAUAUAGGCACCCUACGUUCAUUGCAACAUUAUUCUCAACAGCUAAGAUUUGGAAACAACUUAGGUGCCCACCAAGGGAUGAAUGGAUAAAGAAGAUGUGGUGUAUAUAUAUAUAUAUAUAUAUAUAUAUAUAUAUAUAUAUACACACACACACACACAAUGAAGUACUACUCAGCUAUAAAAAAGAAAAAAUCUUGUCUGAGACAACAUGGAUAUAAUUUGAGGGUAUUAGGCUAAGUGAAAUAAGUCAGAUGGAGAAAGUCAAAUACCAUAUGAUCUCACUCAUAAAUAGAAGAAAAAAACAACAACAAUGAC